Molecule: long non-coding RNA, 1414 nt
Filed under: Eucalyptus grandis
Lineage: Eukaryota; Viridiplantae; Streptophyta; Magnoliopsida; Myrtales; Myrtaceae
Description: long non-coding RNA (EGRA_LNC003260)
Source: RNAcentral
UCUGAGAACUUUCUUCUUGAACUUAUUCAUCAAAGAGAAUUGCUUUAUCCUCGUCCGGACAUUUUGUCCUAGUGAAAAGUGAGAGCCAUUUGUUCAUGUGCUUGACGAAAAGUUCACAAGCAAUUCGACUAAUUCCCUUUACGGCAAAACCAAAAAAGAGAAUAAGAAAACAAGAAAAAUGGACACUAAAGUCAGAUACAAAGCAUGAGCAGAGGAGCAGAAAACGUUUAUCAAUAAAAGAAAUGCAACCAUUUAAUUCAAUUCCAGGGGGUUCAUGAAUCUAGAUACACCCACCAACUAUUCCAAGAGAUCUCAAGUAAUAUCAGCUUCCCCAUGUGUUUAGUUCAUCGAAAGAGUCACAUUAGUUCAGUGUCUACUCUUCCUAUAAUUUUUCUUGACAAACAGCAUCUAAGAUUAACUAGCUUUCAACAAACAGAAAUGCCGUGACUCCCAACUUGUCCAACUUCAACAAGAUCAGAUUUUUCAGCAAAACCCACUUUCUUGCUCGUUCCCCACCAACGCUCAUAGUUCAUGCGAACCCGCUUUCAUUCAAAAAUCAUACCGUUCGCCAUAUACGGGACGUGGGGGGUCGACCACUCCCGCGUUAAUCUCUCACAAUUCAGGCGAAACCUCACGGCCCGAUUCCUUUCUUUUACUUGUAACAUCCCCACCACUUCCUGAAACCAAACGACGAGGGAAAAAACGAAAGCAGAGAAGGAUGACGACAUACCGAGAGAGGACAAAGGAGGCGGUUCGGUGUUGGGGUGAUUAUUGUGGGCACAUUUCUUCUCGCCUGGAAGUCUGCAAUGAUUGCCCCCCCAGAAAAUCUUGAAACCCCCCAGACACAAGCGAUUCAACACGCUCGGUGGAGCGAAGCAGCGAGAUUACGUCGGGCUUCGACUUGACGGGUCGGCCUAAGAUCAUGUAUCCAGAAGUGGGCUCAUCUUCGAUUUUGCCAAGAACGGAAAAAACGGACAAGGGUAGAGAGAGAGAGACAGCCGCAGUUUCACUUCUCGCGUUGCUGCGCUUAGAAUCAGAAGCAAUAAACCAGUGAACUUCUAAUCACAGAUUUAGGUCAAGCUUUCUCCCCCAAAACAAAGAUGCGAACAUAAAACCUCAACCUCGGGAAAUAAAAUCGAACCUGACUCGCAGAUUUAGGGCUUCUCGAGCGACUGCUUUCUUGGUCGCGAGUCGGGGGACGGAGAGAGGCAAGCGAAAUCGGCCGUCGGGAGAGAGCGCGAUUUAGGAAGAAGUGUGCCGAGAGAAUGGAGCCCUAAGAUGAGGCCAUCAAGUGGAGAGAGAAAGGCCGUCGGUGGGAGGGAGCGACGGUGUCGGAGGAAUCGCUAGACCGGAAGGAUUGUCGGAGGAGGAAGAGAGAGCAAAGAGGAGAGAAGAGGGAGCCGAGGGAGCUGAC